This is a long non-coding RNA of Cyprinus carpio (common carp), 1065 nucleotides long. NCBI's taxonomy places the organism in Eukaryota, Metazoa, Chordata, Actinopteri, Cypriniformes, Cyprinidae. The record is from Ensembl.
CAGUUCCAUUUGCGUCACCAUCUUUGUUAUACUUUGGUCAUUGUCGCUAUGGUUACUGGUAAGAAAUUAUGGGCUUGACUUCAGUUGCACGUUCAUACAGACAGUAUUCAAGAAGCUACUGUAAGUUGCUGUGUGAAUGUGACACUUUGAGACUCACACCUGUAAGUAAAUGUGGUUGUCAAUCCCAAAAGCUGACGGUGUGAAAGUAGGAAGACUGUUACUCAUGAUCUGAGUAACACAAAAACUACCCAAACACCGAAAAAUAACCCAAAAAAUUGGUUCUCAUCCCAGCAUUUGGGUAAAAAAGGGGGGGGGGGGGGCCAAGAUUUUUUAGAGUGUAAUCCCUGUUUCAAAAUACAAGAUUAUUGUAAUAUGUAAUGAGAACAUUGGGUUUAAUCUGAAACAUAACGCAACAUUCAGUGUGAAUAGUUCAGUCAAUUGUGAACAAUGCAAGAGGCUACUUGUUUCAAAUUACCCGUGCUGCUGAAAUAGUUACAGUUACACAGGCUACAGAUGAUACAUUAGAAAAUGCACAUUUUAUAACUUACGUAAUUGACAUUUGCUGAAAUGAUUAGCAGUAUGUUAUAAGUGCUCAGCCACUGGUGCAGACCAGCAACUGAAUCAAUCAGAAGAUGGACCAUUUUCUACGUUCACCAUUCAGCUACCCCUUCACUGCAGACAAGCUGAAGGCUAAAUCCUCAACUGGAGUCUUUCUCUGUAUGGAUCUCAGUAUUUUUGGACAGAAUUUAGGAUAUUGUUGGGAUCUCCACUGAAGGACUGAGUACAUUUGUGUUUGUAGACACGCAUACAGACCAGGGAACAUUCUGAUGUUGUCAGUCAUGUUCUGAUCAGGAGCCAGUCUUCGGAGAAGUUCAUUUAUUCCCGAAGGUGGACAAAAACAUUGUGUAGGCUUUUAAAAGGCUAUUUUGAUAAUGACUUUUACUCUUAUGCUGCGGAAAAGAUGGAGGAGUACAGACAUUGAUAAUAAGAAAUGUUUUUUAAACAUUAAAGAGACUUCUUUCAGAACACUUUGGCCACCAGUGUACAUCAAAAGUGAAAAGAUUA